GCAGAGCUCAGGAUGACCUUCACGAUGGCCUGGUCCUGUCUCCUCUUCACAUUCCUUGUUCAGUGCACAGGGUCCUGGGCCCAGUCUGUGCUGACUCAGCAGCCCUCAUUGUCUGGGAAUCCUGGACAGACAGUCACCAUCUCCUGCUCUGGAAAUAACAACAACAUUGGUAUCUUUGGUGUGAGCUGGUAUCAGCAGCUCCCAGAAACGGCCCCCAAACUCCUCAUCUAUGGUGAUAGUAAUCGACACUCAGGGGUCUCUGAUCGCUUCUCUGGCUCCAGGUCUGGCAACUCUGGUUCACUGACCAUCACUAGGCUACAGCCUGAGGAUGAGGCUGACUAUUUCUGUCAGUCUUAUGACAGUAGCCUCAGAUCUCUCACAGUGCUUCAAGCUCAUGGGGAAGUAAGACAAGAACCCCUUUACCAUCUGUUAGGAGAGCAAACACUAUGCAGCUUUGCUCAGGCCUGGUCUCUGGAUUUUUCUGCAACCUUUCAUUAUAGGUCCAGCUGA
This is a non-coding RNA of Ictidomys tridecemlineatus (thirteen-lined ground squirrel), 510 nucleotides long. The record is from the annotation of a RefSeq genome assembly. NCBI's taxonomy places the organism in Eukaryota, Metazoa, Chordata, Mammalia, Rodentia, Sciuridae.